GAGGGUAUAGCUCAGUGGUAGAGUGCAUGUCUAGUAUGUACGAGGUCCUGGGUUCAAUUCCCAGUACCUCUG
RNAcentral lists this transfer RNA (72 nucleotides) under Camelus bactrianus (Bactrian camel). It matches the Rfam family "tRNA". From Rfam's summary of the family: Transfer RNA (tRNA) molecules are approximately 80 nucleotides in length. Their secondary structure includes four short double-helical elements and three loops (D, anti-codon, and T loops). Further hydrogen bonds mediate the characteristic L-shaped molecular structure. tRNAs have two regions of fundamental functional importance: the anti-codon, which is responsible for specific mRNA codon recognition, and the 3' end, to which the tRNAs corresponding amino acid is attached (by aminoacyl-tRNA synthetases). tRNAs cope with the degeneracy of the genetic code in two manners: having more than one tRNA (with a specific anti-codon) for a particular amino acid; and 'wobble' base-pairing, i.e. permitting non-standard base-pairing at the 3rd anti-codon position. Lineage: Eukaryota; Metazoa; Chordata; Mammalia; Artiodactyla; Camelidae. The record is from Rfam by way of RNAcentral. RNAcentral also lists the same sequence under 2 other names.